RNAcentral lists this long non-coding RNA (8076 nucleotides) under Sus scrofa (pig). Its description in RNAcentral is "lncRNA (ENSSSCG00030045173.1)". Lineage: Eukaryota; Metazoa; Chordata; Mammalia; Artiodactyla; Suidae. The record is from RNAcentral.
GGAAAACAAUUUUUAAAAUCCAUUAAAAUAAGGAAAAGACAUGAGCAGACCAUCACAAAAAGAGUUAUAAAAAUCAUCUUUAAAGACAGAAAAAGAUACUUUACUCAUAAUUAGAGAAAUGCAAAUUAAAACCAUACUGAGAUAUUGUUACUGGAUUGGCAACAAUUUAAAAAGUAUGUAACAACACAUUCUGUAGGGAAACAGGCACUCUCAUACACUGCUUGGAAGAAAUGCAAACUGCUGCAAAGGUUUUGAAGGGAAAUUUGGCAAGAAAACUACAUAUACACUUACCUUUCAACUCACCAAGUCCAAUUCUAGGAACUGACCCAGAUAUACUCCAAUAAUACAAAAAUACAUUUGCACAGGGUGACUAAGUACAACACUGUUUGCUACUGCAAAAUAUUAGAAAUAAUAUAAAUGUCUAAAUAUAGGAGAGUGGUUAAAUAAGUUAUGUACAACUGCACAGCUGUAGGAGAAAAACAGAAAAAGACUAAAAUUUAGGAUUGUUUUCCAGGAUACAUUAAGUUAAAAAAGGACCCCAAAAAAGUGCAAAAGAGGAACUGUUAUAUGCCACUUUUCAUGAAAGAAAAAAAGAGAAAUGAACUAUACAUUUAUCUACUUGUUUGUGACAAAAGAAACACUGAAAGGAUAACCCAGAAAUUAAUAAGAUAAGAAAUAAGGAAGAGAGGCAUUGGUGGAGGAAGCAUGACAGGGGCAGAGGAAGGAGCAUUUCUCUGGGUAUAAGAGUUUGUGCUCUUCUGACUUUUAGAAAUCAUGACAAUAUUUAAUAGACCAAAAAUAUAAAUACAUGAUUAAAAUCAAGCAGGAUAAGGGGAGAACCCAAAAUACAAUAACAAUAGUAACAAAGGAGCCUAACUCUAUUACAAACUACACUGAAGGGGCUAGGGAAGAAAAGAAAAAACCUAAAUAAGUCUGAAAAACAGUAUUUUGAUUACAUACUCUAAGAUGAAAAGAAAUGUACAACAAACAUCAUAAACUAGUUAGUAAGUUCCUCCACUCCCCUAGAAUGGCAUAGGUUAAGAAUUAGGAAGUGAAUCAAUAUAUAUUUUAGAAUUGUGCAAAUAGGUAAAUAAACUUUAAAUAAUUAGAGGCAGAUUUCUUACUGCCAGAGAAAGGAGUUACAAAUGAAGAAACGAGGAAGACUAAAAUAAACUUUAUGUGUCAGAUUAGAAUUAAACGUAUGAACUCCUGGUGAUGACAGAUGUUAGAUAGACAGAUAGGUAGAUAGAUAAUAGAUGAUAGAUUGAUCGACUUAGAUGAUGUGUAUGCGUGCUUGUUUACAUAUGCAUGGUUUCUUUUUGGCUUUACUUGCUGAAAAGGCCUAAAAUUAAAGAUGCCAAUAGCAAAGAAUACAGCAAGCAUGCAGAUUUAGAUUUCCAGAAACAAUUCUCUAAUCAAUGAGGGAUUCUUGGACAAAUUCCUGAUCCCAGAGCUAGGACAGCAAAAGCAUAAAAUUAGCUUGGAACGGUACAAGAAAGAAAAGAAGCACCUAAUAAUAAUAAUAAUGAUAACAACAACAGCAGCAGCAGCAGCAGACACACAUUGAAGGGACACACAAGUCAACGAGAAGAAGCUCCCAAUGGUCAAAUCUAAGCCAAUUUGGAGAACAAGUAAAUAAUGAUAACAGGUUAUAACAUAGAGAAUAAAAUAAAUAUCCAUGCUCCAUACCAAUAUACAUAAAUACUUGAAUAACCAAUAAAUGGGAAAGGGAAACUUCUCUUCUUUACAGAAUUCCAAUUAAUAAAUGUCAAGCAAGAUGGAAAUUUAAAAUAUCAUCAAUUGGCGAUUUUUGGGCCAAGACAGGAUAACAAACAGUCUUAAAGUAUCUCAUAAUAAGACACUAAUAAGUACAAAGAGUAAAAUCGUUAGUUUACAGUGGAGAAAUCCAGCAGACACUACCUUAACCAAAUGAUUAAAGUUAACAUCACCAAUAAUAAGAUUAAUCAACAUCAUGGACUCCCUAUAUAUGACAUACUAAGAAGGCCACAAUAUCACUUUCAUGGUACUUUUAUUAUGUAUGUAUAAUAUGAAUAUAACCCUACAAAUUUAAUCAAAUCUGGAUCUCAGAUCAUAAUUCAGCAUUAGAGAUAAUUGGCAAAAGUUGAAUAAUGUCUGUAGAUUAAUUAACAGUAUAGUAUCAAUGUUAAUUUCCUAAUUUUGAGAGUUGUACUAUAGUUAAGUAAGUUGUUAACAUCUGGAAAACUGGGUAAAGGGAAUGUGGGAACUUUAUACCAUAUUUUAGAUUUUUUUUCAGUUUUUUAUUAGCCUGAAAUUACUUCAUAGUAUAAAGUUUUGAAAAGUUAAAACUGCUACAAAGAAAGAAAAGGUAUUUUAAAACCCUGCCAUCUAUGGUUCAAAUAUUUUGCUGGAAAAGGAACAACUUAACCCCUUCUCAAAAUAAAAGGAUAUUUUCUUCUCAAGACAAAAAUGUUAAGUAUGCAUUUUACUUUAUGAAAAGCUAAAAUAUGUACAUGGAAAGAUAAUUCUUUACAUAAAUUCUCCCCCAGAUCAAUACGUUCCCUUUCUCUAACUCAUUAUUUUAAAUUUCCAACUAUUGCUCAUAUUUUCAGAGGAUAUGAUCCAGGUAAUGAUGUAAUUUUUCUGUAAAUUAGCUGCUAGUGAUAAUGUGACUCCAGUGGAUAUUGAGUGUCUUACAGUCUAAUUUUAAGUGUAUAAUGUUCUAGGCGGCAGAUUUCAGGGAGUUCCAUUUCUGCCCAAGCUAUUAGCUGUAAUUUAGCAGCAAAGAAGACUUGGCUCACAUGUAACAAGUACUAUGUGCAAUUAUGAAGUUUGCUUUUCGUUUUGAAAAAGGAAGGUGGAGAAAUGGAGAAUAGGAUAAAGGGACUAGAAAGGUUAGACCAAUUCUGCCAACAACAAGAGUCUUCACUAUGGUUAUUUCACACUCUUAGUAUCAAAUAGACCAUGUUGAAGUACUUUAAUUUCCUUAAAAUACAUAAUAAGUAUAUAUUUAAUAAGAAGUAGCUAAUAAUGAUGAAGUAGCUAAUUAUGAUGAAUGUCUUCUGCAUUCUAUUUUCAUGAAACAUUUUGCUUUGGAGAAUUCAAAUGAAAAUACAACAGGUCUCCUGAUUUUACCACUAGAGGGCAAAAGAUAUUAAGAAACAGGGCAACAAAGCUCACUUGCUUCUGAGAUUCUCUAAUUUUAUGGUUUGGAAUUUCUAGGUAACUAUUUGAAAUGAACCAAUUCAGAAAACAAAUAAGAAAUGUACAAAUGAGGAUAGGAAAAGGUUAAGAGGGAAAAACUAACAUUUUUUAUAAGAAUGAAAUCUCCACGUUCCCAAAAGUGCUCACCUACAUACAUUUAUUAAUUAGAUUAUUGAUUUGGGUUAAACAUUCAAUUAAACACUGAAAUAGGCGGGCAGUGAUAAAUUGUGAUGUUUCCUCUCCUGGUGAUGUUUGAGAAAAAUACUGCCUGGUUAAUGCAAUCGUAUCUAGAAAAUUAGGAAUGAGCUGGUCCAGAAUCAAUAAGGCCAAGCUCUUGCAUUCAAUUUGUGUAUAGGUCAGUGAACAUCUCUCUAAAUCAGAGGCACCCCCCUCACUCUAACCAGCAAGUAGUCAUCACCAGUCAUAAAGGAACAGAGUCCAUGUGCACAGGCAGGACCCAGCCCCAACCCAGCUCCACACCGAAGAACAGAAUGGAAUCAAAGUGCACUUUCUACUGAUGGUGGGUCAAUGAGAUCUCCCACCAAAUGGACAGUAUUUUAAUCUUAAGACUAGAAAUUACUUGUGCAGUAAAAAAUGCAAACUUCUACUGUUCUUCAUACCAUCAUUUUUCCAACUUCCCUUUUCUCAUUUCUAUUUUCUUUCUCACCUAUGUAUGCUACAAUGCUGUUUUUUCCCCUUUGAUAGGGUGCAUUCAUGGAAGAGGUGGUGAAUUACUGAUUUUAGUGGUUUAAAAAAUUAUUUCACUUCUUCCACCAGUUUUGCUGAAACAGCUUGAAUUAAGCUUGGAAUCGAAUCCAAUUGAACUCAAAACAGAUCCAGAUGCUCUAUCCCUAUACUCUGCAGAAGACGGCACCUUACCCACUACAAUGAGCUCACUUCCUCUCCACUGCAUGAAAAUCACAGUCCUCAUUUCAUAAAUGAGAAAUUUUGAGAAAAACUGUACAUAUUACUUAGAAUCAACCUGCUAUUUCUGUAUCCAAAACAGCCCUCGUUGGUCUGAGGAUGGUUGUGACCAACACUGCAUUUGUACAGCUGGAAAUAUCAGUGUACUGCACGUGUUCCCACACUGCUUCCCAAUCUCUCUAAAAAGUCAAAGUCAACUAGAGGGCUGAGAAAAUCAUCUUGAUGAUUUGGCCAGAAUACUAGGUAAUUAUUCUGGAUAUAAGGGCUAAAGGCUGGGGAAGAUAAAUAUUCUUCUGAAUGUUUAUUUACAUUAUUCUGUAUGUUUAUGAUAAGUGUAAUGGGUUUUUUUUUUACUUUUUCAGAAAAGUCCCAGAAAUAACUGUAUUACAUAAAUGUUCUGCAUUGUCUUAAAAUUACUGAAGUCUAUUUUGCCUAACAUAGCUCAUUAUUUCAUUUUGACUUCCUCAUCUCUAGCUUUUCAAUGUAUUUUCUUGUAUGAUUUAGGUCUUCUUUAGAUAUAAAUGUUGUUGAGCCCCAGUUGCAUCUGAUACAUGAAAAUCAUCUUUUGAAUCUGCCAAUUCUGUUUUUAUUGCUGUGAUACCUUUGGAAGCCAAAUUAUGCUUUAAUAGAGUUGAAUGGGUUUCAGGAGAAAAACCUGCAUACAUUGUGUUUUGAGUCACUCACCCAGGAUCUGCUCAUUGUGAUCCCUUAGAAGCUGACCCUAUUAUUUUGCAUGGAGCACCUAACUUAUGUGAGUCCACAGUAGAAACGAUAUAGAGAAAAACACCAUGUCCUGAGCUUAGCAGAAUUCACUUUCCCAUCCUCAGUCACUCCUUUGUGUGUCAGGGAAUCUCUCAUCACAUUGUCCCCUUCCUGAACUCAGGUCAGAUAGAAUUCUUCCUUUCCCAGCCUUGAAUGACUCCCUUGAUCUGAUGCUCACUGAAUUAUAUUGUUUUCAGGAAUAUCUGAGGCUAUGUUAGGUUUUUUUGUUUGUUUGUUCAUUUGUUUGUUUUUUUUUUGUUUUUUGUAGCAAGAGUCUGUAGGGCAGCCAGGCUUUGCUCACAUCUGAGAACAGGAGGCUGGGUGUACUGGAAAUCAUUCCACCCUAGGGAUCUGAUGUGACACUGAGGUCACAACCCCCACACAUGGGUGGGCCUGAACACAUCCCUCAGAGACAGAAACACCAAACACUACCUGAAUUUAUGAAGAAAAUGCAGCUUCUUGAUUUUCUAUCGUAGAUCUAUUCUGCCUCGUAAACAUCCAUUUCACUUGUAUCAGGAGGUGGAAAACAGUCUUUUAAACUUGUCAAUGUUAGGUAUUAAGUCUUCUGUGAACUUUACACCUCUUAUCUUUUUUUUUUUUCUUUUUAUGGCUGCACCUGCAGCAGAUGGAAGUUCCUGGGCUAGUGGUAAAACCAGAGCUGCAACUGCCAGUCUACACCACAGCCACAGCAACGCUGGAUCAAGUUGCAUCCGCAACCUAGGGCAACACCAGAUCCUUAACCCUUCAGGCCUGGGACUGAACCUGCAUCCUCAUGGACACUAUGUCAGGUUUUUAACGCACUGAGACACAUGGGAACUCCCCUUCUCCCAUUUUGAAUAUCAUUAUGAAUUCACAGAAUCAUGAACUCGACUUGUUUAUGAAUAAUUAUUUUUUAAUGUGCAAAUGGUUCCAAGUUGAAUAUCUCAAAGCUGAUUCCACUGUCCUUUCAGCACUAUUCCUGGUAUUUUAAAAGCAUCUUUGCAUUCAGACAAGAAUGAAAUGUUCACCUAGUCUUCAAAGAGCUCUGGUUCCUUUCACAAUGGAGAGUCAAAGGAGAGAGCAAAAUCCCAGACAUUAGAGAGCACAGCUGACAUUGGUUUACUGCUCAGCCUCUUCAGUGAUAGAACACGCUGAAAAUCCACAUUCAUAUUUUUCAGUUUAGCUUAGAUUUCCUAAAUCUAUUUCAUUUCCUUCUAACAUAUUUUUUUCUCUACAACAUACUUAAUUGCAAAAUGAGACAGGGCUCUUCAUAAAGAGUUCAAAUCACCAUUAUCUUUCUGGUUGGGGAUGGGAGUGAGAUAUAAAGGGUAUUCCAGAUAAAAUUAAGCUUGUACAGCUGACCCUUGAACAAUGCAGGGGUUAGGGACAUCCACCCUCAGCACAACUGAAAAUCUGAGUUUAACUUUAUAGUCAGCCCUCCACAUCCACAGAUUCAACAAACGACAGAUCAGGUAGUGCUGUAGUAUGUAUUUAUUGAAAAAAAAAACUGCAAAUAAGUGGACUCAUGCAGUUCAAACGUGUGUUGUUCAAGGGUCAACUACAUAUAGGCACAUCAUAUACAGAGAUCCAAAGGCAUGAAAGUGACAUGAAAUAAAAUGAUGGGAGGAGAAGGCAGUGACAAGAGAUGAGGGUACCUGGGAUGUUUGGUUAGUAUAGGAGGGAUCUCGGUUUGCCACACAGUGGAGUUUGAUUUUCACCCAAUGGCUGAUCUUAAGACAAAAGUAACUAGGUGAUUUUAAGAAAUGUUCUAGAAAGCUAAUCAGCAAAUAAAUUUACAAUAAUUACAAAAAAAAACAUAUUUAUAUCAUUAACCUUCCUUCAAGGUGAAGCAUUCUAGGAAAGGCUUAAAGAAGGAAAUUUUUAUGCAUAUGAGUUUUUAAAACAAAUCCUUGAUAUUUUAUAAGCUGAGGUUGCUAAGUCAAGCCCUAAGGGAAAUAUCAUCUCCUUGUAUGAUGGUAUUUAUCUAUCUCCUUCACCCAUGGAAGAAGGGAUCAAAUGUACCCAUUAUGCCAUCCCAUAGCAGAAUUCUAAGGUUAAACCCCCAUGAUCUCUGCCUCUGGUGGUAUAAAUUUGAUUAGGUUACAUCUCUGAUUAGGUUACAUUAUAUUCCAUGACUAAGGAAAUUUUUCAGAUGUAAUUAGUUGAAAAUUUCAUCAAAAAGGAGAUUAUCUCCAGUGAACCUGACUUAAGGAGUUGUAAGCCCUUUAAGAGAGGAUUUCAGUCUUCACUGAGGUCAGAAAGAGAGUCUCUUGCUGGCUUUGAAGAAGAAGUCAUAAUAAGUUCUACAGCCACCAGGAAAUGAAUUCUGCCAACAACUAUAUGAACUUGGAAGAAGAAUUUGAAACUCUGAUGAGACUCCAGACCUGGCUGAUAUUUUGACUGCAGUUCUGUGACACCCUAUGCAGCAGACCCGGCUAAGCUAAUCUGUGUCCCUGAAUCAUGGAAACUGUGAGAUAAGUAUGUGUUGCUUUAAGCUCUGAAAUAUGUAGUAAUUUGUAAUGAAGCAAUGAAAACUAACAUAUCCAUAUGAAUGGUAAAGAAAAUCUUAUGCCUAUCAAAAUAGGCAGUGUGGACAAUGGUUAAAGACAUGGAGCCUAAAGCCAGGCUACAUGGGUUCAUGCCCAGCAAUCACCGCCUGUUGGUGUGUAACUUCUGUCAUGUUCCUUCACGCUUCCAUGCCUCAAUGUCCUCAUUAUGAAAUGAGGAUGAACAAACAUAAAGCUUAGCUUAUAGGAUUAUUCUGAGAGUUAAAGGACUUAAUUUAUGCCAAGUCCCUAGAAUGCAUGCACCUGGCAUGCAAUAAGCACACUAUAAGACAUUAGCUAUCCUUAUGUGAUUUAAGUAGUUAUCAGUGGAUCUAGAACCAUCAAAAGCUUUCUUCAUAUACCCUCUUAACAAAUUAACGGUCAUCCUAUUAUUAACACUGAAGGCAUUUUAUAAAAAGGUCAAAUUAUCACUGUGCUGGGAUUCUAUAAUCGAAUUCAUUCAGAAAAAAACAUUAAAGGAUAAAACAAUGUAAGAAAACAUUAUCUCAAUUUUAAAUUACAAACUCUCUUAACGCCCCCCUCCUGUAAGAUCUGGAGAUCAGUCAGUUCCAAAGUAAUCACCAAAAUGCAUGAGUAACAGUGGAACUCCUACGUUGUAGGUGCUGCAUGUUACUUCCAAGGAAUUACACAGUGCAAAAAUUUUAUAUCUAUAAAAUAAAAU